This 835-nucleotide ribosomal RNA is filed under the name uncultured bacterium. RNAcentral describes it as "bacterial SSU rRNA". It matches the Rfam family "Bacterial small subunit ribosomal RNA", at positions 8 to 823 of the family's 1533-position model. The record is from RNAcentral.
AGAGUUUGAUCCUGGCUCAGAACGAACGCUGUGCGGCGUGCCUAACACAUGCAAGUCGUACGAGAAAAUCCGCUUCGGCGGGUGAGUAAAGUGGCGCACGGGUGAGUAACGCGUGGAUAAUCUGCCUUUAAGCGGGGAAUAACUUACCGAAAGGUGGGCUAACACCCCAUAAAGCUAUGGAACUCCGGUUUUCAUAGCCAAAGAGAGCCUCUGCAUGCAAGCCCUCACUUAGAGAUGAGUCCGCGUACCAUUAGCUAGUUGGUGGGGUAAUGGCCUACCAAGGCGACGAUGGUUAGCUGGUCUGAGAGGAUGAUCAGCCACACUGGAACUGAGACGCGGACCAGACUCCUACGGGAGGCAGCAGUGAGGAAUAUUGGUCAAUGGGCGGAAGCCUGAACCAGCCAUGCCGCGUGCGGGAUGAAGGCCCUACGGGUUGUAAACCGCUUUUCCCCGGGAAGAAUAACCCCGACGCGUCGGGGGAUGCCGGUACCGGGGGAAUAAGGAUCGGCUAACUCCGUGCCAGCAGCCGCGGUAAUACGGAGGAUCCGAGCGUUAUCCGGAUUUACUGGGUUUAAAGGGUGCGUAGGCGGCCCUGCAAGUCAGCGGUGAAAUGUGGCGGCUCAACCGUUUCGCUGCCGCUGAUACUGUGGGGCUUGGAUGCGGUCGAGGCGGGUGGAAUUCGUGGUGUAGCGGUGAAAUGCAUAGAUAUCACGAGGAACGCCGAUAGCGAAGGCAGCUCGCCGGGCCGCGAUCGACGCUGAGGCACGAAAGCGUGGGGAUCAAACAGGAUUAGAUACCCUGGUAGUCCACGCCGUAAACGAUAAGGGCUGGGUGU